GCGCCCGUAGCUCAACUGGAUAGAGCGCUUGGCUACGGACCAAGAGGUUGGGGGUUCGAGUCCCUCCGGGCGUA
This 74-nucleotide transfer RNA is filed under the name bacterium. RNAcentral's name for it is "tRNA-Arg". It matches the Rfam family "tRNA". From Rfam's summary of the family: Transfer RNA (tRNA) molecules are approximately 80 nucleotides in length. RNAcentral also lists the same sequence under 3 other names. The record is from RNAcentral.